GGUUAUUGAUGGUGCUAUUGAGGGGUUUAAUAAACAGAUCGUUGUCGUGCAGAUGCACGUCGCCUUCAGCGGUGGUCAUUUCACCGUCGAGCGGAAUAUCCAGAUGUAAGCGAGCAUUCACAUCACCAUCAAGCUGGAGCUCAUCCAGGGUCGUAGCCAGGGAAUCCUUCAACGGAGUCUCUGCAAAAUAGGGCCCAACGGCCUUACCCGGCCCGUUGAUAUCGGCAUCAAUCAGCAAUUUUUCUUUUGAGUAAUCGGGGAUAACCGCCUUCAGGUUGCUGGCAGUCACGCCGCCCAGCGCCACGCUGUCGCUCUUCAUCCACAGGCCGUCGUUGAUGAAGUUGAGUUCGAUAUCGAGAUUCUUUAGCGCCGGCCAGUCCGGCUGGAAGGCAAAGGUCGCAUUAUGCAGCGGGA
RNAcentral lists this non-coding RNA (414 nucleotides) under insect gut metagenome. The record is from RNAcentral.